This is a long non-coding RNA of Aphis gossypii (cotton aphid), 1931 nucleotides long. RefSeq lists it as uncharacterized. The record is from RefSeq and is a predicted model, not a curated record. NCBI's taxonomy places the organism in Eukaryota, Metazoa, Arthropoda, Insecta, Hemiptera, Aphididae. The transcript is spliced from 4 exons.
AUUUAUUUACUAUUGAAAUCUACAAAAAAUUAAAAUAAAACUAGUUAAAAACAUUUAAAAAUUAAGUUUAAAUGACGAACAAUUUAGAAAUGUUUAAAUUUUUUGUGGUGUAACGGACGGAGCCCUUGGGAAACCGUUGCGGAGCACCAAGGGCUCCGCGGAGCACAGUUUGGGAACCACUGGUCUAUACCAUAAUUUGAAAUCUUUACGUUUUCAUAUUAUUUUUGACGAUUUUUAGCCUGGUAUAUAAUAAACUUAACACCUCUGGUGCACAAAACAAAAAUAUACUAAUUAUACUAGAUAAUUGUUGUUGUACCUAAUAAUAAUUUUCUGCACAACGCAAAAAGCUUAUAUCUAUUGCAUAUUUAUGUAUAUAAUAACUAAUAAGACAUAAGUAGGUAUUUAUCGUUACAUAUUAUAGACAGUAUUUAAUAUGUUCAUGGUCAAAAGUAGCUGUUAACAAUUUUACACACCUGGAAAGAAGUACAGCUCAUUGCCGAGCAUCGCAUCCGUGGAGUAUAAAUUCAACCUAUCGAUAUACCGUGCGUCCGUGCUCCUCAAUAUAGAUUAAAAAGACAAAAUCGUUGCAAUAUUAUAUACUCGGCAAUGGGCUGUACUUUCUUUCCAGGCGUGUAAAAUUGUUAACAGCUACUUCUCACUGACAGGUACCUACACGAUAGAACACUUAGAAUAAUAGGUAGAUAAUGUUGAAAUAUUUGUCUGGCAAAGAUGAAUAAAUAGAUAUAUAUAAACACCGAAAAAUAAUUUCCUUGACGACAACAUUUCUAUUGUUCUUAUGGUAAAAAAGUCACCAAAGUAGCUUAGAACAAAACAAAACAUGGGUAAAUAAAUGAAAAAAGUUACCAAAUAGCUUUUUGAACAAUAAUUAAUAAAAAAACAAAAACAAAAACUUCGGGCAGGACGACACAAAACUGAGCAGAGAGAAUAUAAUAUAGGAGAUGGCGUAUGGUACAACUAUAUAACUAGAGUUCUAUUGGUCACCUUCGCAGCACAUUUUCACGACCGAUGCUGUGCGGGCGAACGAGUGUCGCGGGCGUGUUUACUUGGACGCGCGACGCGACGACCAUCUCGACGGAAAACGAGGCUCGAUUUCUUCGGGACGGCGGCAAUGGCUGCUAGCGCGCGAUGUCGUGCGCUUCGGCGCCUCGGCGGUGUACGAUUUUGGCGACGACGGAAGGUGGAAAACGAAACUCGGAACGAGCUUAUAAUAUAUAAUAAGAGUUUGGUGCUACAUAUGAUCGGCGCCUAUCCUGUUCAAUCUGUACACAUCAGACCUACCCACUACCAACCUUACCGUCACUGAUGACUUCGCUGAUGAUAAAGCCAUCCUAGCCCUCCACCACGACCCUCUUGAGGUGAAAAAAAACGAUUGGUGCUACAUACAUACGGAACUAGCGGCGGCGGCGACCGGUGCGGCUAAGACUUGGCCGGCGGCGUCGGAAUUGCCAAGGGACAAAAAAAAAGAGGGUAUGCGGACGGCGGCUCACUUUUUAUAUUUUAUAUGCAUCUUAUACAUUACCCAUAUCGAUAAUAAAAAAAUAAAAAAUAAACUUUUUCGCGAAAAUUUACUAGGUAGUUUUUUGAGGUAUAUAUAUCCCCUCCACCCAAUAAAAAUUCUUGUCUACGCCACUGAUUUGAAUCAUUCGAUUUAGUUUAUAGUUAGUUGUUACAACCUUAAAACUAUUUCUUUUAUUCAUUUAUACAUUAAAACAUUUGAAUUUAUGAAUAAUGAGAUAAUGGAAACUGACUGAAACAGCAAAAUUAGAGUAGGUACUUAGUACAUACCUAUAUAAAUUAAAACCUAUGUGAUAUAUCCAAGUAGUCUACCUAAAUGAUAAGUAGGUACUUCUAUAUAAAGAAUAAAUUGGUGUUUCAACUCUUUAAUUUCUAUUGAUUAUAUUAUUUAUGAA